RNAcentral lists this unclassified non-coding RNA (200 nucleotides) under Tricholomataceae sp. RNAcentral's name for it is "partial internal transcribed spacer 2". Lineage: Eukaryota; Fungi; Basidiomycota; Agaricomycetes; Agaricales; Tricholomataceae. The record is from RNAcentral.
UUAAGUUCAGCGGGUAGUCCUACCUGAUUUGAGGUCAAAAUGUCAUAAAUUGUCCAAGUUAAUGGACGGUUAGAAGCUGAACCCCAUGUUAAAAGCUGCUUCACAACCAUGGCGUAGAUAAUUAUCACACCAAAGCUGGUCCACAAAGGUUCCGCUAAUGCAUUUAAGAGGAGCCGACUUCUGAGAAGCCCGCAAAAACC